CAGUAGCCGCGGUAAUACGGAGGGAGCUAGCGUUGUUCGGAAUUACUGGGCGUAAAGCGCGCGUAGGCGGUUACUCAAGUCAGAGGUGAAAGCCCGGGGCUCAACCCCGGAACUGCCUUUGAACUAGGUGACUAGAAUCUUGGAGAGGUCAGUGGUAUUCCGAGUGUAGAGGUGAAAUUCGUAGAUAUUCGGGAGAACACCAGUGGCGAAGGCGACUGACUGGACAAGUAUUGACGCUGAGGUGCGAAAGCGUGGGGAGCAAACAGGAUUAGAUACCCCAGUAGUCCCUGUCUCUAUACAC
Molecule: ribosomal RNA, 301 nt
Filed under: uncultured bacterium
Lineage: Bacteria
Description: partial 16S ribosomal RNA
Rfam family: Bacterial small subunit ribosomal RNA
Source: RNAcentral